RNAcentral lists this ribosomal RNA (490 nucleotides) under uncultured bacterium. Its description in RNAcentral is "partial 16S ribosomal RNA". It matches the Rfam family "Bacterial small subunit ribosomal RNA", at positions 30 to 507 of the family's 1533-position model. The record is from RNAcentral.
AUUGAACGCUGGCGGCAGGCCUAACACAUGCAAGUCGAACGGUAACAGGAAGCAGGUUGCUGCUUUGCUGACGAGUGGCGGAGGGGUGUGUGAUGUCUGGGAAACUGUCCGAUGGAGGGGGGUAACUAGUGGAAACGGUAGCUAAUACCGCAUAACGUCCCUAGGGCAAAGAGGGGGGGCUCAUGGCCCCUUGCCAGCGGGAAUGCCCAGAUGGGAUUAGCUAGUAGGGGGGGUAACGGCCCACCUAGGGGACGAUCCGUAGCUGGUCUGAGAGGAUGACCAGCCACACUGGAACUGAGACACGGUCCAGACUCCUACGGGAGGCAGCAGUGGGGAAUAUUGCACAAAGGGCGCAAGCCUGAUGCAGCCAUGCCGCGUGUAUGAAGAAGGCCUUCGGGUUGUAAAGUACUUUUAGUGGGGAGGAAGAGAAUAAAGUUAAUACCCUGCCUUAUUGACGUUACCCAAAGAAUAAGCACCGGCUAACUCCGUG